This 380-nucleotide ribosomal RNA is filed under the name uncultured eukaryote. RNAcentral describes it as "partial 18S ribosomal RNA". It matches the Rfam family "Eukaryotic small subunit ribosomal RNA", at positions 592 to 976 of the family's 1831-position model. The record is from RNAcentral.
CAAUAGCGUAUAUUAAAGUUGUUGCAGUUAAAAAGCUCGUAGUUGGAUUUGUGGCGUACGGUGUGUUCCGGGCACUUGUUGUCUGAGUAACCUGCUGUUGCCAUCCUUGGGUGGAACCUGUGUGGCAUUAGGUUGUCGUGCAGGGGAUGCCCAUCAUUUACUGUGAAAAAAUUAGAGUGUUCAAAGCAGGCUUAUGCCGUUGAAUAUAUUAGCAUGGAAUAAUGAGAUAGGACUUUUUUGCUAUUUUGUUGGUUUGCGCAAGAAGGUAAUGAUUAAUAGGGACAGUUGGGGGUAUUCGUAUUCCAUUGUCAGAAGUGAAAUUCUUGGAUUUUUGGAAGACGAACUACUGCGAAAGCAUUUACCAAGGAUGUUUUCAUUAA